RNAcentral lists this ribosomal RNA (214 nucleotides) under uncultured bacterium. RNAcentral describes it as "partial 16S ribosomal RNA". It matches the Rfam family "Bacterial small subunit ribosomal RNA", at positions 1287 to 1500 of the family's 1533-position model. The record is from RNAcentral.
CUCAGUUCGGAUUGUAGUCUGCAACUCGACUACAUGAAGCUGGAAUCGCUAGUAAUCGCGAAUCAGAAUGUCGCGGUGAAUACGUUCCCGGGUCUUGUACACACCGCCCGUCACACCAUGGGAGUUGGGAAUGCCCGAAGCCGGUGACCUAACCGAAAGGGAGGAGCCGUCGAAGGCAGGCUUGAUAACUGGGGUGAAGUCGUAACAAGGUAGC